Long non-coding RNA from Drosophila elegans, 449 nucleotides. RefSeq lists it as uncharacterized. The record is from RefSeq and is a predicted model, not a curated record. NCBI's taxonomy places the organism in Eukaryota, Metazoa, Arthropoda, Insecta, Diptera, Drosophilidae. The transcript has 3 exons.
CAACACUGUAAAUCUAUUAAAUUUGUACACACGUACUGUCAUCGUACUGUCAUCAUACUGUCAUCGUACUGUCGUCGUACUGUCAUCGUAUUCUCAUACUAAUAAGCUGGAAACCAAUAAAGAUGGGACUCCCACAACGUGCAGACGACGGGUUUGAGCCUCGCAAAGAGAAAUACCUUAUCGAUGAAAACGGGAAAAUCUGCAGAUGCCCCAUUUGCCAAAAGCCCCUGGUGAAGAAAGUGGCCACCAACUGCGGCCAUUUGUUUUGCCAGGGAUGUCUGACCAACGCCUUGCAAGAAAGCCCUUUGUGCCCCCGUUGCCAGACAGAAGUGACCAGAGUGCAACGUGUAUUGUGCUAAUUCCAAGGCACCGUUUUUUGUUGCAAAAUUUGACUCGGUUCAAACAUUUUUUAUUGUUUUCUCACCGAUAUUAAAUGCCACAAUCGCCAA